GACAGAUAGGAUGGUUUAUUUACUUUGAAAUCAUAUUAUUAUAUACACUUAAGAAUUCGCAGCUCUCUCUGCAGGUUAGUGGACAUCAGGCUCAGUAAAUUGUAUCUUUACAUGACUUUAGAGGUCCAACUUUACUAUACUUUUUUAUAUUCUAGGCAUUCGAGGUAUCAUUUUGUUAUUAUAGAAUAUUUAUUAUUAGUAUAAACGUAGCAGAAGAGUUCAAGAAAAAAACACCAGUCAAUGUAGUAAUCAUUUUAACAACUUGUUUACAAUCAUUGCUUGUGCAUAAUUUAUUUUACAAUCAUUUCCUUAAAUAUGACACCAUGUUCCAUUUUCACAAUUAAAUGUUACAUGCACUUGACAAUGUUAUAAUUUAAAGGUUGAUGAUACAAUUCUGAAAUAAAGAAAAUACAUAUAUAGAAAGUAAAAGAAAACCUAAACAACAAGGUAUAGUUAUCCGCUACACCCAAUAACUAAGAACAAACUUUAGUAUGGGGUAUAAUGGACUACUAUACCUUGUAUCUAAUAGGUUAAUAACUUUAACAUUGUUUACAGUGAAGGCUUGAUUAUUCUCAGGAUGUAAGAGGUGUGUUGUGCGUGUACAUUGAUUCUGGCAAAUUUAAUUUAAAAAAUCCACUUUAGAAACAUGUCUGAAGAAAGAAGUUAAAAGAAGAGAGGUCUCUUACAAAAAGCGAUUUAUAAAAAUAUCUGUCACUUAAGCUAAUCAUAUAGCAAGAUGGACUGUGUAUAUGUAUGUCAAUACUCAGAAAAUGUAAUACCAAAUUAUUGAUGGAAAAAUUGUGUACAUUAAAUCAACUGAUCAUCAUGAGUAAAUCUGCCAUAUGGUGAUGGGCACGUUUCCUUAUCACUGAAAGAUUGCUAUACCAUCUCUGAUUAUACAGAGGUAUAGCUCAUUAAAAGGGGAUAAGAGAUAAAUAUACUUGGUUAUCAACUUCAUUAUGCAUCGCAACGUUCAAGUGUUUCAAUUCUUGUAAUCUUUGACAAUUGACUUGUAAAACUUGGUCGAGUUUGAAGAAAAUCUCAAAUUUGGUUUAGGCAAAGAUGUUUUGCAACUACAGGAUUUUGGUUUAAAUUUUGCAUAUCUGUUUUCAAUUUCCAACACAAGCUCCCUGUUUAAAGGAACACUAUAGCGAGGGGAAAAAAUAGCACUAUAGUUUUACCCUACCUAUUUUGGUGUCAGCUCCCUCCCCAGUGAAAUUGUCAAAAUUAAUUCCACAUUAGGAGGGCAGUGCACAUGCGCGGCAAAUCUCCACACUACUUCACUCAAGUUCUCUCUAGCGGUCUGGCUCUGUUCUCACAGGAGAAGCACCUCUAGUGGAAGUCAGGAAGACUACCAGUAGAGGUGUGCUUAACCCAGGGUUAAAAUUACAGGACCACUGCACCCAGACCACUUCACUGAGAUGACUUUACUGAUCAUUUCAUAAAUCAGCACAUAUGAGAUUUAGGCUGCUCUUAUUAAUUCAUGACAAGUGUAGUCUAGUCAGCUAUUAAUUUUUCACAAAAAUAUUCUUACAUUUUUUUUUAAAUGUGUGAUACAAUUCUUUCAUAAUCUCUCUAUAUUGUGGUGGUACAGAUUACUCUUCUUUUACGUUACAAAAAAACCUCACUAUAUGCCACAAUGACAAAGUUCCACCACAAAUGGAAACAUCAUCAGUGCUAGGAUACACAGGUUACUAAUUAUAUAUUUUUAAAAAUCUAUUUUUGGAUUCUUUGAAUUAGCCUAGAUGUGUUACUAAGCUUGAAAUAAUUUUGCCCUUAUGUAACCACAUACCCUUAUCUAGGUCAAACUUCUUCUCUGAUAAAAUGAGCUGAAUACUUGAAAGUAUUGCAUUUUUAUUUUAUAUUUGUGCAUUCAUUUGACUUUGACCAAUUAUUUGACCAUCAGUUAAAGGGACACUCCAGGCACUCAGACCACUUCUGCCCCUUGGAGUGGUCUGGGUGCCAACUCCUACUACCCUUAACUCUGCAAGUGUAAUUGUUGCAGUUUUUUGUAAACUGCAAUAAUUACCUUGCAGGGUUAAGUCCUCUUCUCGUGGCUGUCUAUCAGAUAGCCACUAUAGGGACUUUUGUGUUCUUAGAACACGAAAAGUGUUUUAAGUGACACUGGACGUCCUCACACUAUGUGAGGACCUCCAGCGUUGCCGAAAUCCCCAUAGGAAAGCAUUGCGUAAUGCUUUCCUAUGGAGAGGUCUAAUGCGCGUGUGGGGAGGAGAGUAGGCGGACCUGACCCAGCGCCGAGGGACAUUGGCUCUGGACUCCGGUAAGUCACUGAAGGGGUUUUAACCCCUUCAGCAACUUGGGAUGGGGGGUGGGAGAGAGGGGCACUGUAGGAUCCUGCAGUGCCAGGAAAACUAAUAUGUUUUCCUGGCACUGGAGAGUCCCUUUAAUAAAAUUCCAACAGAAAAGCAAUUCAAUAAAGGCAGUGCUUAUGAGGAAGGAGUGAAGAGGGUGGAGCUUAUACAGAUAAAAUGGCACUGUACAUUCAUUUUCCGUAAAGCAAAAAUAAAUAGCUAUAUUAGUGAAUUAAUAAGUCCCACCGUAAACAAUUUUGUAUGAAUGGAGACUAGGGUAUAAUACAUUUCUGUCAUUAAAUAUAUCAGAAAAAAAAAGAACUUCACAUACAUUUUGUAUGAUUUACCUUAAUUUAGAGGCUUGAAAUUACUGUAAGGUUUAACAGUUUCCCCUCUUACCUUUUUGUCCGCGGGGUGCCAAGGGUCCAAAUGUGGCCAAGUAAUGACAGGUAACCUUUUUAAAAUGUUCAGGAUUAUUUACUAACAUUUAAAUUGAUGGUAAUUCAAAGUGAAUUUAAAAUGUUAGGUGAAAAUAUUAGAAAUAAUUCUCCAAGUCAGCUUUGUUUUCAUUCUGAUUAUUUUGGUCUAAAAUUUGAAAAUUCACUUUGAAUUCCCAGCAGCUCAAAUUUCAGAUUAGUAACUUUUAAAUUUAAAGUGGCACUCCGACGCCCAAAUAAAAAAAAUAAAAAAUCACAAAUAGUGUGUGUGUGUGUGUGCCUUAUUUUUUUUUAGUAGAUAUACCCAAAUAAGCACAUGCAUGUAUUUUUUUCAUUGGGAGUAUGUCUAAAAACAGCUUUGAAAAGCUCAGUGAGAAGACUUUGCAAGGCAGGUGCUCUGGGCAAUUACAGCCAGGGAGGGAGGGGUGGAGGGAGGGGGGGGGUGUAACAAGAUUAAUUUAUAAAAGUACAUCUUUCUAUUGAAAUCUGAACUUUUUGUAAAAUUAAAAAAUAGGACACACACUUCACGCAUUACAGUAAGAUAAAGUGCUUAGGGGUCCGGAGUGUCUUUUUAAGAACAAAGUAGUUGAACUUGACUUAUAGCUGAUUUUGAGAAUUUUUCAAAGUUUAGCUAUGUUGGCCUCCAUUUUGAAAUUCACUUUGAAUUUGUGACGAUUCUCAUUUCAGUAAAUAACCAUGCCAAUAGAAAAUUGCAUUUCUUCAGCUGAUGAAAACUGUCCAAUGAAUGUUAUACCAUAGAGGUGUCCUUUAAAAUGUGUUUUAGGUCUCACAUGUUGCAUUUUACUCUUUAGCUUAUAUACUAUGUGUAAUCUAGCUAAUGGAUGAGUUACAUGUCACUCAGUACUGUAUAUAGGACAUCGCCUUCAGGACAGGGAAAGAAAGUGUGGAUUGUUAAUACAUGGAUCAGAAGGGUACGAACAGUGAGACUAUCCCUGGUGACACGCUGCACUGUGGUGUGCAGAGCUUCCUCUCCCCAGAACUUGACAUUAUCAUUAGGCAGAGCGGGCACUUGCCUUCUCUGACUAAUGAUAAAAUACAGCUCUCUGGGAGAGCGUGGCUCUACACACCAAAUUGCAGCGUGUCACCAGGAAUUGCACACUUUAAUAGGGCAUGUGUUGUGGUUAGUGUCUACUCCACUGAGGAAGCAGGGAUCACACUCUCAUUAUGUGAUGCCACCCCAAUUCUGGCCACACUGCUGAGUAGCUUGGAGCUUGGGGUACAGUUUUACUGGCAUUCCCAGUGACUUAAAGGGACACUAUAGUCCCCAGAACAACUACAGCUUAUUGUGUUUGUUCUGGUGAGUAGAAUCAUUACCUUCAGGCUUUUUGCUGUAAACGCUGUCUUUUCAGAGAAAAUGCAGUGUUUACAUUACAGCCUAGUGAUAACUUCACUGGCCACUCCUCAGAUAGCUUUUAGAGAUCCUUCCUGGGUCAUGGCUGCCUAAAAUGCAUCCAAACAUUCAGUAUCUCCUCCCUCUGCAUGCAGACACUGAACUUUCCUCAUAGAGAUUCAUUGAUUCAAUUAAUUUCUAUGAGGAGAUGCUGAUUGGCCAGGGCUGUGUUUGAAUCAUGCUGGCUCUGCCCCUGAUCUGCCUCUUUGUCAGUCUCAGCCAAUC
Molecule: non-coding RNA, 4385 nt
Organism: Pelobates cultripes (western spadefoot toad)
Lineage: Eukaryota; Metazoa; Chordata; Amphibia; Anura; Pelobatidae
Source: the annotation of a GenBank genome assembly